CAAGCGAAAGUCCUUUUAAAAACCACAACCUACUUUUGCAGAAAAUAAAAUCUAUAGAAACACUGUUAGAUCCUUCUUUACUGACAGAUGAUGAAUCUUCACAUGUCUAUUGCUCUUCUUGUCGUUCUUCUCACUGGAGGAAACUCUCUGACAUGUUAUCACUGCCUUGAUCAGCAGGGCCGUUGUGAACGGCAGAAAGACUGUGGCUAUGAUAGCAUGUGUGCGAAUAUAAGAAAAGUAGAAUACAAACAUGGCACAAUGACAGAAACCAAUGAAACACAAACACGUUGUGUGCCUGUGGAUUAUUGUGAGUCUUGGUCGCAAAGCUCAUCCCUUGAGAGAAAAGCAGUUUCUGUAAAAUGCUGUGAUACCGACCUUUGCAAUGACCA
Paramisgurnus dabryanus is the source of this 389-nucleotide long non-coding RNA. RefSeq lists it as uncharacterized. The record is from RefSeq and is a predicted model, not a curated record. Lineage: Eukaryota; Metazoa; Chordata; Actinopteri; Cypriniformes; Cobitidae.